GCAUAUCAAUAAGCGGAGGAAAAGAAACUAACAAGGAUUCCCUUAGUAACGGCGAGUGAACCGGGAAGAGCUCAAAUUUGUAAUCUGGCUGUCUUCGAUAGUCCGAGUUGUAAUCUAUAGACGUGUUUUCCGUGCUGGACCGUAUCUAAGUCCCUUGGAACAGGGUAUCAAAGAGGGUGAUAAUCCCGUGCUUGAUACGACCACCAGUGCUCUGUGAUACACGCUCUACGAGUCGAGUUGUUUGGGAAUGCAGCUCAAAAUGGGUGGUAAAUUCCAUCUAAAGCUAAAUAUUGGCGAGAGACCGAUAGCGAACAAGUACCGUGAGGGAAAGAUGAAAAGCACUUUGGAAAGAGAGUUAAACAGUACGUGAAAUUGUUGAAAGGGAAACGAUUGAAGUCAGUCGUGUUCUUCAGAUUCAGCUGGUUCUUCCAGUCUACUUCUGUUGAACGGGUCAACAUCAGUUUUGUCCGGUGGAUAAAGGUAGUAGGAAUGUGACUCCUCCGGGAGUGUUAUAGCCUAUUAUUGCAUACACUGGGUGAGACUGAGGACUGCAGCUCGCCUUUUGGCCGGUCUUCGGACACGUUCGAGCUUAGGAUGUUGACAUAAUGGCUUUAAACGACCCGUCUUGAAACACGGACC
This 639-nucleotide ribosomal RNA is filed under the name Cutaneotrichosporon cutaneum. RNAcentral describes it as "eukaryotic LSU rRNA". It matches the Rfam family "Eukaryotic large subunit ribosomal RNA", at positions 38 to 667 of the family's 3401-position model. Lineage: Eukaryota; Fungi; Basidiomycota; Tremellomycetes; Trichosporonales; Trichosporonaceae. The record is from RNAcentral.